GGAUUUCGCCUCCCUAGACCAGGAGGGAUUGGACCCUGACUACAGGUCCAGGUGCUCGUCAGUGCCCUGCCAGGGGGUCUACGCGUCCUGGUACCGGGUCCAGCGGGGUGGCGUGCUGUGCAGACCCCGAGGCUAGACGGCCUAGGCCCCUGGAGCCCAGGAGACGCUUCCUUGGGGGGAACUUGCGGCUUGGGAGGGGACACCCACUGCAUGGCUUCUGGAAAGAGCCGGACUCGCAGGGCCAGGACGCAGGCCGGACCCCGGCCUCAUUCUUCGGCCAGUUAUCCCGGAGUGGCGCGCAUCCUGUCUUCCUGGGCCUCGGACUGCUCGCGCGCAGAGGGGGCCCGAGGACACCUCUGUGGGGUUAGAGGACUCGGUAAGACGGUGUGGAAGGCAAGGAGGAAGGUCGCGUUGUAUUGGGGAUGGGGUACCCGUCCCUCCCAGCUUGAGGGAUCCUGGGGGUCCUCGCCGCCUCUGAGGGCCUAGAUGGCUGCUUCCCUCGGCUCCCCUGCCCGGCCUGGAGCUACGGGUGCGCCCAGCUAGAGUUUAGGGCCACCUGGGGACGUGCAAGGGGCGCUGGAGCGAGGCGGGGGCUGGGGCGGGGCGUGGGUGCUUCACCCGCGGGGGACGCAGAGCUUAGGCGAAAGCGGUGCAGGCAUCUCUCUAAUCGCCGGCCGCUAUUAAAAAUAAAACCGCGACCCGUCGCCAUGGCGACCACAACAACAGCGGCCGCGCGAGGGAGGCGAAAACUUGUGCAGCCGCGCGACAGCCGCCUUCUGGGGAGACUCGGGGCACGACGCACCCGGCGUGGGACUGGGACCCCCCUGCCCGGCCCCGCCACAUUCUCCGCCGGAUCCCCGGAAGACACAAGGAGACGUGGACCCCCACAGGCUUUUUUGGGGGGAUUGGGCGUUGAAACCGCAGGGCUGACUUAACCAAGAGGUCACCGACUUGGAUAAAAAACCCACGCCCGCGCGGACCCCCCUCCCCGGCCUUCGUUUCCAUUCAAACUCCCAGCGUCCUCAUUGCAGCCCCUGGGGAGGGGGACGGAGGGACGAGGUGGGUUUCAGGUGCUCGGCCCAGGAGGGGACGGUGCGACCCGGGCCCCGCCGGCGGGUUUUGCGCGCGGAGGCUGCGGCACCUGCCCCGCCCGCCCUGCCGCGAUCCUUGCAGACGGGGGCGGUCACAUGCUUCUUUCUGGCCAGGAAUCGAGUUUCACUUCCAGCCGCUAUUAGUCGGUUCACACAGUUCACUGCAAACAUUUGAUAAUGAGGCUAAAUAUACUCCCGCGUCGGAGGAGGCGUGGGCGUCCCCGCCCAGGCCCGGGAGACAGAGGCGCUGACCCCGGGACAGAGCCUGGCUUUGUGCGGGAGGCAGACGCGCCCCGCGCGCCGCCCCCGAAACAUUCGCACCCCAUGCUGAGGCGCGCGUCUGGGAGUCCGUGGGCGCCCCGAGCGACGUCGAUGGCGCCAGGUGCCAAGCUCUUUCCUUGUAUAAUUUCAUGGACACUCACGCAUCAACUCUAAGCGAAGACUUGGAGCGGGGCUCAGCACCCCAGGGGUACCUCUGCAACCUCGAAAUGAAGUUGAAAAUAGCACAGGAGCCCACUAUCACUGUGUGAACAUUUUGUGAAUGAAGACAUGUAUGAAAGGAUGUUUGGAGGCUUCAAGAAACGAAAGCCGAGAGUCUAGCUAGACCAGAGCCAUCCAGCCCAGGAGCGAUGGCCACGUGUGGCCGCUGGACACGAGAGACGUGGCCAGUCCAAACUGUGCAGUGCGGUAAGGGCAGAACACAUGCCAGCUUUCGAAGGCUUAGUAAAGAAUGCAAAAUUUCUCAAUUGGGAAUUUUUGUAUGAAUUUCAGGUUGAAAAAAACAUUUUGGAUAUAUGGUGUUAAAUAAACAUGAUUACAAUGACUUUCGCUGUCAGCCUCCCGGAGGCUCAUUUUGCUCCUCUGGGCCACAGCCAGCUCAGAGGGUUGCUCUAGGAAAUAUCUACACGUUCUUGAAGCACAGGUUUAUGUGCCAGGCACUGUACUAAGUGCUGGGGACACGGCGUUAAGACCAGGCCCUCACGGAGCCCUCACUCUCUGAGGAGGAACAAUAAGUCAGAGAGCGCGCGAGUGCAGCCCUUCAGGCAAAGGAUUUCAGGCCCAGGUCAGGAAGGCCUUGUCUGAGGAGUCUGAGAAGAAGUCAAUUGACAACAGCUAGAACAUCUAGGUCAGGCACUCCAGGCCGACACGACAAAGCAGGUGCAAAGGCCCCAGGGCGGGAACCAGCGUGGCUUGUUCACAGAACAAGGAGGUAGAUCGCUUGCCCUUGGGACCAAAGGAAGGCUCUGGAUUUUAUUCUAGGGGCAGUGGAAGCCGUUGGAGGGCCUCAGGCAGGAACACAAGGUGUCGUGGCAGAAAGGAAGAAGGGGCCGGGCACGGUGGCCCACACCCGUCAUCCCAGCACUUUGGGAGGGAGGCCAAGGCAGGAGGAUCGCUUCAAUCCAGGAGUUCAAGAUCAGCCUGGGCAACACAGCAAGACCCCGUCUCUACUAAAACCCUAAAACUUAGCCAGGCUUGGUGGCAUGUGCCUAAGGUCCCAGGUCCUCGGGAGACUAAGGCAGGAGGAUUGCUUAAGCCCAAGAGUUUGAGGCUGCAGUGAACUAUUAUCACACCACUGCACUCAGCCUGGGUGACAGAGUGACUCUGUCUCAAAACUAAAUAAAUAAACAAUAAUUGUGUUAUUCUGUCUCCAUUUCUCGCAUACUGAAUUUAAGGUGGACUCAGCCAGCGGGUUCAGGCCCAGGGUCUGUCCUGCAGCUACAGUCAGGGUUGGUGGCUGCAGCUGUCAUGGGGGAGCGGUGAGGUUGGGGGAACAGGGGGGCUGGCCUGCAUCCCCCACUUUCAGGUGGGCUCAACUCCGUCUCGUGGCCUAUUGGGGGCCAGCAUGGGCUUCCUUACAGCAUGGAGGCCUCCAGGGUCAAGCUGCCUCUGGGAUGGCAGAGGGCUUUGUGUUCGUGCUCCCACGCCCACAGUGGAGGCAAUACACCCUUUCCAGAUCUAGCAGUACAGGUGCGCAGCACCACACCUCUGUACGCUCUCAGCCUAAGCUGUCCCCAGCCCUCCUGGCCUCUGGAGGAGGGGACGCAGAAACUCCAUCCCGGACAGAGGGAGAGCCAGUGUGUGCACAGGCAGCUUCUAACACUGCUUCGUGGUUUCACACGGCUCCCUCAUGGAGAAGGGGCUGGAGGAGGACAGGGAGGUGUGCAGUCAUCUGGGUGACAUAUGAGGGUGGCUGGGCUUCCAGAUGGCUGCAGUGGAGACCGUAAGAAGAGUGCACGAGGUAAGGCUUCCGAAACGCCCAGCAGGUUCCUGGCAGCUGCAGACAACUCAAUUCUUAGCACUUGCCAAUAGCUGGGGUGUAAACACUCCCGCCGUCGCUAUUUCGGGCUAUGCUCCUUGCCUCCACUGGGUCUGGCUCUUAAAACAGCAAGAAAGCAACUCGGAAGCUGAGUCAGCCCCGUCUCUCCACCGUGCCCACAGAUCCUUCCCUGUUCCAGAGCUCCCGUUGGCAGCCAGCUGGGCUUCUCAGGGGGCAUCUCCAGUCCUGUGCAGUCAGAGAAAACCAGGGAAGCAUCUUGAUCUCACCUAGAAAUUAAGGCCAUCACAUCCAACACCUGCAUUUUACAGGUGAGGAGGCUGACAUUACAAGUAGUGGUGGUGGUGACAUUUGAACCCAGACCCCUGUCCUCCGGGGCCUGUUUCCCUGGGAGCUGCGGACUCUGCGUGGAGACACAGAAAUAGAGACCCAGAUGGCUCCCGUAGAAACAGAGUCACCCCCCAGGGCAGCUGGAAGGGAGUGGGAGAGGACAGGUCCUCAAGGGCCUCUGCUCUCCACUUCCCUCCCCGCCUCGCCGUGUCCUCUCCCUUCCUCUCUCCAACCCCUGCAGGGGGAGGCCUGGCUGGGAAGAGACGUUUUCUGAGUAGAUGUUUUGGCUGGGCAGACUGAGCUUUGAGAAGCAGCCAGGCCGAGCGGGGCUAGGGAGUGAGGGCAUUGGGGAGCCUGAACUUUAGUGACCACUGCCCCUCCCAGGCCAAAGCCGCAAACCCCUCCCAUCCCCAAGGGCUUCAGACUCAAGGCCCAAGUUCCUGCA
This 4141-nucleotide long non-coding RNA is filed under the name Homo sapiens (human). Its description in RNAcentral is "HSALNT0338858". The record is from RNAcentral. Lineage: Eukaryota; Metazoa; Chordata; Mammalia; Primates; Hominidae.